AUCAAUUAACUCAACUUACUGAUUUUUAAAUCAAGGUUUCCCCUGAGUUAAACGAAUUGCUGUGUGUAGUCUUUGCCCGUCUCAUAGGAUGGGCUUUUUUUUCG
This 104-nucleotide non-coding RNA is filed under the name Acerihabitans arboris. RNAcentral describes it as "RprA RNA". It matches the Rfam family "RprA RNA". Rfam says of the family: Translational regulation of the stationary phase sigma factor RpoS is mediated by the formation of a double-stranded RNA stem-loop structure in the upstream region of the rpoS messenger RNA, occluding the translation initiation site. Clones carrying rprA (RpoS regulator RNA A) increased the translation of RpoS. The record is from Rfam by way of RNAcentral. Lineage: Bacteria; Pseudomonadati; Pseudomonadota; Gammaproteobacteria; Enterobacterales; Pectobacteriaceae.